Molecule: microRNA, 22 nt
Filed under: Ixodes scapularis (black-legged tick)
Lineage: Eukaryota; Metazoa; Arthropoda; Arachnida; Ixodida; Ixodidae
Also listed under: 1 other name
Description: Isc-Mir-10-P2_3p* (star (passenger))
Source: RNAcentral
CAAGUUCCCCUCUGCGGGUCUG